This 880-nucleotide ribosomal RNA is filed under the name Hellenicoscyphus hyalotrichus. RNAcentral's name for it is "partial large subunit ribosomal RNA". It matches the Rfam family "Eukaryotic large subunit ribosomal RNA", at positions 37 to 932 of the family's 3401-position model. The record is from RNAcentral. Lineage: Eukaryota; Fungi; Ascomycota; Pezizomycetes; Pezizales; Pyronemataceae.
AGCAUAUCAAUAAGCGGAGGAAAAGAAACCAACAGGGAUUGCCUUAGUAACUGCGAGUGAAGCGGCAAAAGCUCAAAUUUGAAAUCUGGCGUCUUCGGCGUCCGAGUUGUAAUUUGGAGGGAUAUCUUCGGGGUUGGCGCCGUCCUAAGUUCCUUGGAACAGGACGUCAUAGAGGGUGAGAAUCCCGUGCCUGGAUGGCUGUCCAACUCCAUGUGAAGUGUCUCCGACGAGUCGAGUUGUUUGGGAAUGCAGCUCAAAAUGGGUGGUAAAUUUCAUCUAAAGCUAAAUAUUGGCGAGAGACCGAUAGCGCACAAGUAGAGUGAUCGAAAGAUGAAAAGCACUUUGAAAAGAGAGUUAAAAAGUACGUGAAAUUGUUGAAAGGGAAGCGCUUGCGACCAGACUCGAUCUUUGGUGAUCAGCCGGGCUUCUGUCCGGUGCCCUUGCCAUUGAUUGGGCCAGCAUCGGUUCUGACGGCGGGAUAAAAGGAAGGGGAAUGUGGCUCCCUUCGGGGAGUGUUAUAGCCUCUUUCACAAUGCCGCCAGUCGGGACCGAGGACCGCGCUUCGGCUAGGAUGCUGGCGUAAUGGUCUUAAGCGACCCGUCUUGAAACACGGACCAAGGAGUCUAACAUCUAUGCGAGUGUUCGGGUGGAAAACCCUUGCGCGUAAUGAAAGUGAACGGAGGUGUGAACCCUUCACGGGGUGCAACAUCGACCGGUCCUGAUGUCUUCGGAAGGAUCUGAGUAAGAGCAUAGCUGUUGGGACCCGAAAGAUGGUGAACUAUGCCUGAAUAGGGUGAAGCCAGAGGAAACUCUGGUGGAGGCUCGCAGCGGUUCUGACGUGCAAAUCGAUCGUCAAAUUUGGGUAUAGGGGCGAAAGACU